UACGUAGGGUGCAAGCGUUAAUCGGAAUUACUGGGCGUAAAGCGUGCGCAGGCGGUUAUGUAAGACAGGUGUGAAGUCCCCGGGCUUAACCUGGGAACUGCAUUUGUGACUGCAUAGCUAGAGUACGGUAGAGGGGGAUGGAAUUCCGCGUGUAGCAGUGAAAUGCGUAGAUAUGCGGAGGAACACCGAUGGCGAAGGCAAUCCCCUGGACCUGUACUGACGCUCAUGCACGAAAGCGUGGGGAGCAAACAGG
This 253-nucleotide ribosomal RNA is filed under the name uncultured bacterium. RNAcentral's name for it is "partial 16S ribosomal RNA". It matches the Rfam family "Bacterial small subunit ribosomal RNA", at positions 524 to 776 of the family's 1533-position model. The record is from RNAcentral.